This 361-nucleotide RNase P RNA is filed under the name Desulfovibrio sp. RNAcentral describes it as "RNase P RNA component class A". It matches the Rfam family "Bacterial RNase P class A". From Rfam's summary of the family: Ribonuclease P (RNase P) is a ubiquitous endoribonuclease, found in archaea, bacteria and eukarya as well as chloroplasts and mitochondria. Its best characterised activity is the generation of mature 5'-ends of tRNAs by cleaving the 5'-leader elements of precursor-tRNAs. Cellular RNase Ps are ribonucleoproteins. Lineage: Bacteria; Pseudomonadati; Thermodesulfobacteriota; Desulfovibrionia; Desulfovibrionales; Desulfovibrionaceae. The record is from RNAcentral.
GGAGCCGGACAGACCGUCGCUGCGGGGUUUUCCCCGGGGAGGAAAGUCCGGGCUCCACAGGGCAGAACGCUGGGCAAUACCCAGGGGGGGUGACCCUCGGAAAGCGCCACAGAAAGCAAACCGCCUCGCCACAGGGCAAGGUAAGGGUGAAACGGUGGGGCAAGAGCCCACCAGAUGCCGCGGUGACGCGGCAUGCUCGGCAUACCCCGUUCGGAGCAAGACCAAAUAGGGAAGGCGGCUGGCCCGGCCACAGCCUUCCGGGUAGGUUGCUGGAGGACGCGGGCAACCGCGCUCCUAGAGGAAUGACGGUCACGUGCGGGGAACCGCACGACAGAACCCGGCUUACCGUCCGACUCCCGUC